AACGAGACGGGAUGGAAUGACCCUUCGGGGGAAUGAAAUCCUAGAAAGUGGCGAACGGGUGAGUAACGCGUGGGUAACCUGCCCUAUGGAAAGGAAUAGCCUCGGGAAACUGGGAGUAAUGCCUUAUAAUAUACGAGAGUCGCAUGGCUUUUGUAUUAAACGCUCCGGUGCCAUAGGAUGGACCCGCGUCCCAUUAGCUAGUUGGUGAGAUAACAGCCCACCAAGGCAACGAUGGGUAACCGGUCUGAGAGGGCGAACGGUCACACUGGAACUGAGACACGGUCCAGACUCCUACGGGAGGCAGCAGUGGGGAAUAUUGCGCAAUGGGGGCAACCCUGACGCAGCAAUACCGCGUGAGUGAAGAAGGUUUUCGGAUCGUAAAGCUCUGUUAUUGGGGAAGAAAAAAGACGGUACCCAAGAAGAAAGUCCCGGCUAACUACGUGCCAGCAGCCGCGGUAAUACGUAGGGGACAAGCGUUGUCCGGAUUUACUGGGCGUAAAGGGCACGCAGGCGGUUUUUUAAGUCAGAUGUGAAAGGUACCGGCUCAACCGGUGACAUGCAUUUGAAACUGAAAGACUUGAGUAUUGGAGAGGCAAGUGGAAUUCCUAGUGUAGCGGUGAAAUGCGUAGAUAUUAGGAGGAACACCGGUGGCGAAGGCGGCUUGCUGGACA
RNAcentral lists this ribosomal RNA (671 nucleotides) under uncultured Acetobacterium sp. RNAcentral describes it as "bacterial SSU rRNA". It matches the Rfam family "Bacterial small subunit ribosomal RNA", at positions 65 to 735 of the family's 1533-position model. Lineage: Bacteria; Bacillati; Bacillota; Clostridia; Eubacteriales; Eubacteriaceae. The record is from RNAcentral.